GCAGCUGGAUUAAGUGUUUUAUUACUUACCACUGAGGACACUUCUGCUUGACACAAAUAUAUUUGUUAGAGUAUUUUAUUAAAUUACACCAAACAUCUGAAUUCAGAGUGGAGCUAUUCAGAAGCUAAAUGUAAAAAGAAUUGACAUUACAGUGUCUUAGCAGCAGUAAAGCCGUAAUCAAUUUUGACAGAUAUUGCUCAUGUGCUUGAGGCUCAAUGAGAAGUUGUUCAGAUACCACCAAGGUGAGGCAGAAAGGAAUGAAAUAUCAGGAGCUCUGUGGAAAUGCAGCACUGUGGAGAAAGACUCUCCAGAGUUGCUUUUCCCUACUUUUCACCAACAAGAAAAAAAAAAAAUAUAUAUAUAUAUAAUUAGAGGGCUGUAGGUAAAUAAGAGGUAUACUAAAUACUUUGGUAUAUCUAAAUACUUUGGUAUUUAGAAAGAUUUGGCAUAUUUGUCAAUAAUCUGGUCUCCUGACUUUUAAUGCUGCGUGGAGAGCACAUGUAUGGCUUUAAAACAUAAACUUCUGGCCCCAAAUCUGCAGAAAAAUCAUAAGUGGAAAAUAAAGUUUUCUCACUGGGUGUUUUUAAAGCUAUGUUUUUUAAGACUUUUUUUCAUAAGUUUCCUAAUUCUCAUUUGCUUUUUGAGUGUUUGGGAUCAAUAACUUUGGGUCUUUGAUUUAAGCUGUCUCUGGCAGGAGAAUUAGGAAGAGAUGGUCUCUGGUGCCUGCUCUACCCCAAGAACACCUGCAAUGACCUACCAAAAGAAACCUCAGAAAGGAAAAGAAGAAACUACAGAUGUAAAAAGAACCAAACAUGCCUCUCCACUUUUGUUUUUCUUAAGGCGCUUUUCCCCUGGCACACACACAAAAUCCUGCCUGAGCCGUGGUUGUACUGCAGUGGAUUCAGGCCACAUUUAAAUACAAUGGAGAGAGCUGGAGCUGCGUGUGCUCGGAGUGCUGGCCACAAACAUCUCCAGCCCUGCUGCUGGCACUUCUGAAAAACAUGGACAUUUGUUCUGCUUGUCUUGAACUGGGGUAUUGCUGACCUGGCUGCAGGGAUCUCUCCAUCAGCUAACCACUGCCUCACAAGAGAUGAAACACCACGAUCAGUCAUGGCUGGAGGAAGAAUCACGAAUGUCAUCUAGUCCCAUUUUUGCUACGUUUGGGAUAAUCAUGACAUUUGCAAGAGAGUGAGUGAUUUUUGGAGCUUGCUUGGCUGAAUCCUGGCCUUUAUGAAGACAGCUGCUUUCAAGGAGUGCUUCAUUAAAAAUGUCUUCACUGAAAAUCAUCACUUAACUAUGUAGGCAUUUUCUUAGAUGCUUUCCUCUUAUUUGGAAGCUUAGACAUCCCAAAUAUCCUCAGUUUUAAAUUAGUCUAAGUACAGGGAUGCCACCAUUGGUACACUCAGUGGUAACAAAACCCAACUACAAACUCAGAAUUCAGAAUAAAAUGCAGUAGACUGUUAAGAUCCUAAAGAAC
This 1477-nucleotide long non-coding RNA is filed under the name Anas platyrhynchos platyrhynchos (common mallard). Its description in RNAcentral is "lncRNA (ENSAPLG00000019097.1)". Lineage: Eukaryota; Metazoa; Chordata; Aves; Anseriformes; Anatidae. The record is from RNAcentral.